GCAGCCAUGCCGCGUGUGUGAAGAAGGCUUCGGGUUGUAAAGCACUUUGUAGUGAGGAAGGUGUGUAGUUAAUAGCUGCAUUAUUUGAUGUUAAGGCGGAGAAGCACCGGCUAACUCCGUGCCAGCAGCCGCGGUAAUACGGAGGGUGCGAGCGUUAAUCGGAAUUCUGAGUAAAGCGCAUGCAGGUGGUUUGUUAAGUCAGAUGUGAAAGCCCGGGGCUCAACCUCGGAUAGCAUUUGAAACUGGCAGACUAGAGUACUGUAGAGGGGGGUAGAAUUUCAGGUGUAGCGGUGAAAUGCGUAGAGAUCUGAAGGAAUACCGGUGGCGAAGGCGGCCCCCUGGACAGAUACUGACACUCAGAUGCGAAAGCGUGGGGAGCAAACAGGAUUAGAUACCCUGGUAGUCCACGCGUCGAUGUCUACUUGGAGGUUGUGGCCUUGAGCCGUGGCUUUCGAGCUAACGCGUUAAGUAGACCGCCUGGGGAGUACGGUCGCAAGAUUAAAACUCAAAUGAAUUGACGGGGGCCCGCACAAGCGGUGGAGCAUGUGGUUUAAUUCGAUGCAACGCGAAGAACCUUACCUACUCUUGACAUCCAGAGAACUUUCCAGAGAUGGAUUGGUGCCUUCGGGAACUCUGAGACAGGUGCUGCAUGGCUGUCGUCAGCUCGUGUUGUGAAAUGUUGGGUUAAGUCCCGCAACGAGCCAACC
This 707-nucleotide ribosomal RNA is filed under the name Vibrio sp. 64BHI6. Its description in RNAcentral is "bacterial SSU rRNA". It matches the Rfam family "Bacterial small subunit ribosomal RNA", at positions 388 to 1103 of the family's 1533-position model. The record is from RNAcentral. Lineage: Bacteria; Pseudomonadati; Pseudomonadota; Gammaproteobacteria; Vibrionales; Vibrionaceae.